UGUAUCCUCAAUGUAAACUCAGAUUUCUUUAUAUAAAUAUGAAUUUAAUCAAACAAAACAUGCAUGUAUUGUGUAACAUGAAGUCCUAUGAGUGUCAUCUGAUGAAAAUAAUCGAAGGUUAGUGAUUCAAUUUAUCUCUAUUCUGGUUUUUGUGAAGCUAUAUUUAGCUGGGAAAAAUGGCUGUGAUUAUUUUUGGUUUUGUGGUGACCUUACAUAAUCGUUUGUAGUGCUUUCGCUGAAAAUCCUAUUUGAAAUCGGACACUUUGGUGGGAUUAACAACAAGAUUACCUUUAAAAUGAUAUAAGACACAUGUAUGUUUGAGGAAUUUUAAUUAUGAGAUUUCUGGUUUUUGAAUUUGGCGCCCUGCACUUGGCUGUUGUCAUAUUGUUCCCGAUAUCGGGACUGCAGCCAUAAGAAGUUUUAACUAGUUAUUUAGCUAAAUAUUGCCUGGUUGGCUAGCUAGCUCACAAGGGACUUUUUUAUUUAUUUAUUAGAUUUUUUUAUUUCACAUUUAUUUAACCAGGUAGGCUAGUUGAGAACAAGUUCUCAUUGGCAACUGCGACCUGGCCAAUAUGAAGCAUAGCAAUUCGACACAUACAACAACAGAGUUACACAUGGAAUAAACAAAACAGUCAAUAAUACAGUAGAACAAAAGAAAACAAAGUCUAUAUACAGUGAGUUGAAAUGAGGUAAGAUAAGGGAGGGAAGGCAAUAAAUGGGCCAUGGUGCCAUAGCAAUUACAAUAUAGCAAUUAAAAACUGGAAUGGUAGAUGUGCAGAAGAUGAAUGUGCAAGUAGAGAUACUGCGGUUCAAAGGAGCAAGAUAAAUAAAUAAAUACAGUAUGGGGAUGAGGUAGGUAGAUGGAUGGGCUAUGUACAGGUGUAGUGAUCUGCUCUGACAGCUGGUGCUUAUGUGACAGGUUAAAGGAAAUACUCAUAGCCUGUUAUACAUUAAAAAGUAUUAGUAAGUUCAUAGUAUGUGAGGAUCUUAAAACAUCUAAGGUUAAGAAGAUCAUGCAUUCAAUAUUAGUUGAUAGAGAUUGAUAACAUUCAUAUAAUUGUGUUAAAAAGUUAAAAUCCGUCAAGCGUACAAAGGGUACGAAUUGUGAGAGGAAUGUGUAAACGUUAUAUUGAUUACUUUAUUUUGUGGUGCCUAAUGGAAGGGUAAAAGUGUUAAUCUGUGAUCUACUAAAUGCUCUUAAUCUAUGAGCCCGAGAUCGAUUGCUCUGGUCUCAACCCAAGUUCCCGGGGAAAUCGCAGUCUUUCCUUAUUGCACUAAAAGUUUUCCUUGCGGAAACAAUACCAUAUCACUCUCGUGAUAAUUUCAGAUAAUGAGGGAGAUAUGAGUCUCCAGCUUCAGAGAUUUUUGCAGUUCGUUCCAGUCAUUGGCAGCAGAAAACUGGAAGGAAAGAAGACGAAAGGAGGAAUUGGCUUUGGGGGUGACCAGUGAGAUAUACCUGCUGGAGCGCGUGCUACGAGUGGGUGCUGCUAUGGUGACCAGUGAGCUGAGUUCAACAGGAGUGCAUCCCUCAGACCAUCCGGUACAUGGACAUCCUGUGCCAGUGGUAUGACAUCCUGUGCCAGUGUGAGCCGAGAGCAACCGUCCAGUUGUAGACUACAGCAGAUCGAGCCUGUGGACGGAGAGUCCAACAGGAGUGCAUCCUUCAGACCAUCCGGUGCAUGGACAUCCUGCGCCAGUGUGAUCCGAGCAUGAGCGUCCAGUUGUGGAGGCUACCAGUAGUGGAAAAAGGACUCAAUUGUUAUACUUGAGUAAAAAUAAGGCGUGACAUGCGAAACAGUCUCACCCCACGAGAAGCAGUACAUGAUCAACGCCAUCCUCAGCAAGGAGAUAUGCUGGAAGUGAUGUACUCUCACUUUGGGGACGACACCCCAUCCAAUGAGUGUGAUCUGAGGACCCUGCUCCACCGACAGCACCAUGCCAGCCUGCAUGCCCCAGGUGGCCUUGUUUUUGAACAAUGUCUGGUACAGGGAGGGUUGCGGUUGUUCUAGCUCAGGUUCAAGGAGACAUGCCAUUCCACUGAACCUUCCCCGGGAACGGUUCCUUAGCCACUGAAGAUCCUCCUCUGUGGGCUCUCGGGACAGAGGGUUGUAGUCUUCGGCCAGGUACAGGUCCUCCACUGAAUGCACCUGGUUGGGCACGGCUGGCUUCCUCCUCACAUUCCACAUCCGUACAACCGAUAUUGUGAACUGCCAAAAUAGGCUGCAUUGCUACACUUAUGAGCUCCACGGAGGCAUUUGCAUGUGGUAGAGAGAAUUACCUGGUCACCUAUUAUAGAGACCUGACAAGUGGAAGGAUGUUAAGUGCCACAUGCCUUUCAAUGCUUGACUUUGAUCACGCUGAAAUGCAUUUGUUGUAAGAAAGUGCUAUAUAAAAAGUUUGAUUGACAUUACAACUGUAGAAUAUUUCAACUGUAAUUUUCAUAAGGACAAGUGCAGUUUUCCCAUAAACUUUUAAUUGAUAACUUGGGAUUUUAUCACUUGACAUCAGUCAGAGUGCAAAGGGUCCUAUAAUCAAGACUGUGUGAAUACAUGUACCACUCUGAAUAAAUAAAUAGUUUUUGAAGCUU
Salvelinus fontinalis (brook trout) is the source of this 2587-nucleotide long non-coding RNA. RefSeq lists it as uncharacterized. The record is from RefSeq and is a predicted model, not a curated record. The transcript is spliced from 6 exons. NCBI's taxonomy places the organism in Eukaryota, Metazoa, Chordata, Actinopteri, Salmoniformes, Salmonidae.